RNAcentral lists this ribosomal RNA (44 nucleotides) under Cephalozia albula. RNAcentral's name for it is "partial 26S ribosomal RNA". Lineage: Eukaryota; Viridiplantae; Streptophyta; Jungermanniopsida; Jungermanniales; Cephaloziaceae. The record is from RNAcentral.
GCACCUCAYAUCAGGCAAGAUUACCCGCUGAGUUUAAGCAUAUC